Transfer RNA from Candida albicans SC5314, 86 nucleotides. It matches the Rfam family "tRNA". From Rfam's summary of the family: Transfer RNA (tRNA) molecules are approximately 80 nucleotides in length. Their secondary structure includes four short double-helical elements and three loops (D, anti-codon, and T loops). The record is from Rfam. Lineage: Eukaryota; Fungi; Ascomycota; Pichiomycetes; Serinales; Debaryomycetaceae.
GGUCCUAUAGUGUAGUUGGUUAUCACCCAAGGUUUUGAUUCAUACGAAACCUCCUUGUAACUCCGGUUCGAAUCCGGAUAGGACCU